RNAcentral lists this ribosomal RNA (227 nucleotides) under uncultured bacterium. Its description in RNAcentral is "partial 16S ribosomal RNA". It matches the Rfam family "Bacterial small subunit ribosomal RNA", at positions 122 to 334 of the family's 1533-position model. The record is from RNAcentral.
UAAUCUACCCUAAAGUCUGGAAUAACCGGCCGAAAGGCUGGCUAAUACUGGAUAGAGCGACGGGAUCCGUAAUCGGAUCUUUCGGGAAAGGGAGGCAGUAAUGCCCCUUGCUUUAGGAUGAGCCUGCGUCUCAUUAGCUAGUUGGUGGGGUAAUGGCCCACCAAGGCUUUGAUGGGUAGCUGGUCUGAGAGGAUGAUCAGCCACACUGGAACUGAAACACGGUCCAG